Molecule: RNase P RNA, 345 nt
Filed under: uncultured Limosilactobacillus sp.
Lineage: Bacteria; Bacillati; Bacillota; Bacilli; Lactobacillales; Lactobacillaceae
Description: Bacterial RNase P class B
Rfam family: Bacterial RNase P class B
About the family: Ribonuclease P (RNase P) is a ubiquitous endoribonuclease, found in archaea, bacteria and eukarya as well as chloroplasts and mitochondria.
Source: RNAcentral
CUUGCAUUGCGUUAGGAAGGUCCAUGCUCGCACGGACUGCGAUGUCCGUAGUGUUUGUGCUCGCUGAAAAAAUAAGGCGGGGCACCUUUUAGGUGACGGCGAAAGAAACGGCUAAGGCUCUGCUAUGCCCGAGUAUUUCUGAAAAGUGCCACAGUGACGAGUGUUGCUGGAAACAGUAGCAGUGGAACGCGGUAAACCCCUCAAGCGGUAAACCCAAACUUUGGUCGGGGAGCUUUGGAUAGCAAAUUGAAGCGAUUCCAGGGGAGGGCUUUGUGCCCUGAGACAGAUGAUAACCUCGGUUCAGUUGUGCCUGACGGCUGAAUUACGACAAAACAUGGCCUACAG